RNAcentral lists this ribosomal RNA (382 nucleotides) under uncultured bacterium. RNAcentral's name for it is "bacterial SSU rRNA". It matches the Rfam family "Bacterial small subunit ribosomal RNA", at positions 29 to 424 of the family's 1533-position model. The record is from RNAcentral.
AACGAACGCUGGCGGCAGGCCUAACACAUGCAAGUCGAACGCCGUAGCAAUACGGAGUGGCAGACGGGUGAGUAACGCGUGGGAACAUACCCCUCGGUUCGGAAUAACUCAGGGAAACUUGAGCUAAUACCGGAUACGUCCGAGGUUUUGAUCGACCUUGGAGAAAGAUUUAUCGCCGAAGGAUUGGCCCGCGUCUGAUUAGCUUGUUGGUGAGGUAAUGGCUCACCAAGGCGACGAUCAGUAGCUGGUCUGAGAGGAUGAUCAGCCACAUUGGGACUGAGACACGGCCCAGACUCCUACGGGAGGCAGCAGUGGGGAAUAUUGCGCAAUGGCCGAAAGGCUGACGCAGCGACGCCGCGUGUGGGAUGACGGCCCUCGGGUU